GGCAAUAGCUCAGUGGUAGAGCAUCUGCUUUCCAUGCAACAAGUCUCUGGCUCAACCCCCAGCAUCUCCA
Podarcis lilfordi (Lilford's wall lizard) is the source of this 70-nucleotide non-coding RNA. NCBI's taxonomy places the organism in Eukaryota, Metazoa, Chordata, Lepidosauria, Squamata, Lacertidae. The record is from the annotation of a GenBank genome assembly.